RNAcentral lists this ribosomal RNA (2902 nucleotides) under Klebsiella pneumoniae. RNAcentral's name for it is "23S ribosomal RNA". It matches the Rfam family "Bacterial large subunit ribosomal RNA". Lineage: Bacteria; Pseudomonadati; Pseudomonadota; Gammaproteobacteria; Enterobacterales; Enterobacteriaceae. The record is from RNAcentral.
GGUUAAGCGACUAAGCGUACACGGUGGAUGCCCUGGCAGUCAGAGGCGAUGAAGGACGUGCUAAUCUGCGAAAAGCGUCGGUAAGGUGAUAUGAACCGUUAUAACCGGCGAUGUCCGAAUGGGGAAACCCAGUGUGAUUCGUCACACUAUCGUUAACUGAAUACAUAGGUUAACGAGGCGAACCGGGGGAACUGAAACAUCUAAGUACCCCGAGGAAAAGAAAUCAACCGAGAUUCCCCCAGUAGCGGCGAGCGAACGGGGAGCAGCCCAGAGUCUGAAUCAGCUUGUGUGUUAGUGGAACGGUCUGGAAAGUCCGACGGUACAGGGUGAUAGUCCCGUACACCAAAAUGCACAGGCUGUGAACUCGAAGAGUAGGGCGGGACACGUGGUAUCCUGUCUGAAUAUGGGGGGACCAUCCUCCAAGGCUAAAUACUCCUGACUGACCGAUAGUGAACCAGUACCGUGAGGGAAAGGCGAAAAGAACCCCGGCGAGGGGAGUGAAAAAGAACCUGAAACCGUGUACGUACAAGCAGUGGGAGCACCUUCGGGUGUGACUGCGUACCUUUUGUAUAAUGGGUCAGCGACUUAUAUUCUGUAGCAAGGUUAACCGUAUAGGGGAGCCGCAGGGAAACCGAGUCUUAACUGGGCGUUAAGUUGCAGGGUAUAGACCCGAAACCCGGUGAUCUAGCCAUGGGCAGGUUGAAGGUUGGGUAACACUAACUGGAGGACCGAACCGACUAAUGUUGAAAAAUUAGCGGAUGACUUGUGGCUGGGGGUGAAAGGCCAAUCAAACCGGGAGAUAGCUGGUUCUCCCCGAAAGCUAUUUAGGUAGCGCCUCGUGAAUUCAUCUUCGGGGGUAGAGCACUGUUUCGGCUAGGGGGUCAUCCCGACUUACCAACCCGAUGCAAACUACGAAUACCGAAGAAUGUUAUCACGGGAGACACACGGCGGGUGCUAACGUCCGUCGUGAAGAGGGAAACAACCCAGACCGCCAGCUAAGGUCCCAAAGUCAUGGUUAAGUGGGAAACGAUGUGGGAAGGCACAGACAGCCAGGAUGUUGGCUUAGAAGCAGCCAUCAUUUAAAGAAAGCGUAAUAGCUCACUGGUCGAGUCGGCCUGCGCGGAAGAUGUAACGGGGCUAAACCAUGCACCGAAGCUGCGGCAGCGACACUAUGUGUUGUUGGGUAGGGGAGCGUUCUGUAAGCCUGCGAAGGUGACCUGUGAGGGUUGCUGGAGGUAUCAGAAGUGCGAAUGCUGACAUAAGUAACGAUAAAGCGGGUGAAAAGCCCGCUCGCCGGAAGACCAAGGGUUCCUGUCCAACGUUAAUCGGGGCAGGGUGAGUCGACCCCUAAGGCGAGGCCGAAAGGCGUAGUCGAUGGGAAACAGGUUAAUAUUCCUGUACUUGGUGUUACUGCGAAGGGGGGACGGAGAAGGCUAUGUUAGCCGGGCGACGGUUGUCCCGGUUUAAGCAUGUAGGCUGGUUAUCCAGGCAAAUCCGGAUAAUCAAGGCUGAGGUGUGAUGACGAGGUACUACGGUGCUGAAGUAACAAAUGCCCUGCUUCCAGGAAAAGCCUCUAAGCAUCAGGUAACAUCAAAUCGUACCCCAAACCGACACAGGUGGUCAGGUAGAGAAUACCAAGGCGCUUGAGAGAACUCGGGUGAAGGAACUAGGCAAAAUGGUGCCGUAACUUCGGGAGAAGGCACGCUGGUGUGUAGGUGAAGUCCCUGCGGAUGGAGCUGAGACCAGUCGAAGAUACCAGCUGGCUGCAACUGUUUAUUAAAAACACAGCACUGUGCAAACACGAAAGUGGACGUAUACGGUGUGACGCCUGCCCGGUGCCGGAAGGUUAAUUGAUGGGGUUAUCCGUAAGGAGAAGCUCUUGAUCGAAGCCCCGGUAAACGGCGGCCGUAACUAUAACGGUCCUAAGGUAGCGAAAUUCCUUGUCGGGUAAGUUCCGACCUGCACGAAUGGCGUAAUGAUGGCCAGGCUGUCUCCACCCGAGACUCAGUGAAAUUGAACUCGCUGUGAAGAUGCAGUGUACCCGCGGCAAGACGGAAAGACCCCGUGAACCUUUACUAUAGCUUGACACUGAACAUUGAGCCUUGAUGUGUAGGAUAGGUGGGAGGCUUUGAAGCGUGGACGCCAGUCUGCGUGGAGCCAACCUUGAAAUACCACCCUUUAAUGUUUGAUGUUCUAACGUUGGCCCCUUAUCGGGGUUGCGGACAGUGUCUGGUGGGUAGUUUGACUGGGGCGGUCUCCUCCCAAAGCGUAACGGAGGAGCACGAAGGUUAGCUAAUCCUGGUCGGACAUCAGGAGGUUAGUGCAAUGGCAUAAGCUAGCUUGACUGCGAGCGUGACGGCGCGAGCAGGUGCGAAAGCAGGUCAUAGUGAUCCGGUGGUUCUGAAUGGAAGGGCCAUCGCUCAACGGAUAAAAGGUACUCCGGGGAUAACAGGCUGAUACCGCCCAAGAGUUCAUAUCGACGGCGGUGUUUGGCACCUCGAUGUCGGCUCAUCACAUCCUGGGGCUGAAGUAGGUCCCAAGGGUAUGGCUGUUCGCCAUUUAAAGUGGUACGCGAGCUGGGUUUAGAACGUCGUGAGACAGUUCGGUCCCUAUCUGCCGUGGGCGCUGGAGAAUUGAGGGGGGCUGCUCCUAGUACGAGAGGACCGGAGUGGACGCAUCACUGGUGUUCGGGUUGUCAUGCCAAUGGCACUGCCCGGUAGCUAAAUGCGGAAGAGAUAAGUGCUGAAAGCAUCUAAGCACGAAACUUGCCCCGAGAUGAGUUCUCCCUGAGACUUUAAGUCUCCUGAAGGAACGUUAAAGACGAUGACGUUGAUAGGCCGGGUGUGUAAGCGCAGCGAUGCGUUGAGCUAACCGGUACUAAUGAACCGUGAGGCUUAACCUU